Molecule: ribosomal RNA, 110 nt
Filed under: Alligator sinensis (Chinese alligator)
Lineage: Eukaryota; Metazoa; Chordata; Crocodylia; Alligatoridae
Source: RNAcentral
ACUUACAGCCAUGCUACUCUGAACAUGUCUGAUCUUGGAAGCUAGGCAAGGUUCAGGCCUGAUUAGUACCUGGAUGGGAGACCAUCUGGGAAUACCAGGUGCUGUAGGCU